This 465-nucleotide ribosomal RNA is filed under the name uncultured bacterium. Its description in RNAcentral is "partial 16S ribosomal RNA". It matches the Rfam family "Bacterial small subunit ribosomal RNA", at positions 355 to 795 of the family's 1533-position model. The record is from RNAcentral.
CCUCCGUUCUUCCGCCGUUUUUACUCUUCCUCCCUUUUCUCCCUCCUGCCGGCGCCCCGCCGCGUGAUCGAAUGAAGGCCUUCGGGUUGUAAAGAUCUGUUGACAGGGACGAAUAAGCCAUGCGAAUAGUUUGGUGUAUGACGGUACCUGUUUAGAAAGCUCCGGCUAACUACGUGCCAGCAGCCGCGGUAAUACGUAGGGAGCAAGCGUUGUCCGGAAUUACUGGGCGUAAAGGGCGCGUAGGUGGGUGCUUAAGUCAGGUGUGAAAACUCUGGGCUCAACCUGGAGACUGCACUUGAAACUGGGUAUCUUGAGGGCAGGAGAGGAAAGUGGAAUUCCUAGUGUAGCGGUGAAAUGCGUAGAUAUUAGGAGGAACACCAGUGGCGAAGGCGACUUUCUGGACUGUACCUGACGCUGAGGCGCGAAAGCGUGGGUAGCGAACGGGAUUAGAUACCCCGUGUAGUC